UCAGGACGAACGCUGGCGGCAUGCCUAACACAUGCAAGUCGAACGGAGUAAUGACUUCGGUUAUUACUUAGUGGCGAACGGGUGAGUAACACGUGAAUAAUCUGCCCUGUACGAUGGGAUAACAGCUGGAAACGGCUGCUAAUACCGUAUAUGACCACGCCGAGGCAUCUCGGAGGGGUGAAAGCGCUUAAGCGGUACAGGAUGAGUUCGCGUCCAAUUAGCUAGUUGGUGAGGUAACGGCCCACCAAGGCGACGAUUGGUAGCCGACCUGAGAGGGUGAUCGGCCACACUGGAACUGAGACACGGUCCAGACUCCUACGGGAGGCAGCAGUGGGGAAUAUUGGGCAAUGGAGGAAACUCUUUAACCCCCAGCAAUGCCGCGUGAGUGAUGAAGGUCUUCGGAUUGUAAAGCUCUUUGAUUGGGGACGAAUAAAUGACGGUACCCAAGGAACAAGCCCCGGCUAACUAUGUGCCAGCCGCAGC
Molecule: ribosomal RNA, 483 nt
Filed under: uncultured bacterium
Lineage: Bacteria
Description: bacterial SSU rRNA
Rfam family: Bacterial small subunit ribosomal RNA
Source: RNAcentral